AACGCGAAGAACCUUACCUGGGCUUAACAUCCACUGACAACCACAGAGAUGUGGUGUUCCCUUCGGGGACAGUGAGAUAGGUGCUGCAUGGCUGUCGUCAGCUCGUGUCGUAAGAUGUUGGGUUAAGUCCCGCAACGAGCGCAACCCUUGCUUUUAGUUGCCACCAUUAAGUUGGGCACUCUGAAAGGACUGCCGGUGUUAAACCGGAGGAAGGCGGGGAUGACGUCAAGUCCUCAUGGCCCUUACGUCCAGGGCUACACACGUACUACAAUGGCAGAGACAAAGGGUCGCGAAGCCGCGAGGUGGAGCUAAUCCCAAAAACACUGUCUCAGUCCGGAUUGAAGUCUGCAACUCGACUUCAUGAAGCUGGAAUCGCUAGUAAUCGCAGAUCAGCACGCUGCGGUGAAUACGUUCCCGGGCCUUGUACACACCGCUACAGU
Molecule: ribosomal RNA, 440 nt
Filed under: uncultured bacterium
Lineage: Bacteria
Description: bacterial SSU rRNA
Rfam family: Bacterial small subunit ribosomal RNA
Source: RNAcentral